RNAcentral lists this ribosomal RNA (380 nucleotides) under uncultured eukaryote. Its description in RNAcentral is "partial 18S ribosomal RNA". It matches the Rfam family "Eukaryotic small subunit ribosomal RNA", at positions 592 to 976 of the family's 1831-position model. The record is from RNAcentral.
CAAUAGCGUAUAUUAAAGUUGUUGCGGUUAAAAAGCUCGUAGUUGGAUUUCUGCCGAGGACGACCGGUCCGCCCUCUGGGUGAGUAUCUGGCUCGGCCUGGGCAUCUUCUUGGAGAACGUAGCUGCACUUGACUGUGUGGUGCGGUAUCCAGGACUUUUACUUUGAGGAAAUUAGAGUGUUUCAAGCAGGCUUACGCCUUGAAUACAUUAGCAUGGAAUAAUAAGAUAGGACCUCGGUUCUAUUUUGUUGGUUUCUAGAGCUGAGAUAAUGAUUAAUAGGGAUAAUUGGGGGCAUUCGUAUUGACGAGUCAGAGGUGAAAUUCUUGGAUUUCGUCACGACGAACUACUGCGAAAGCAUUUGCCAAGGAUGUUUUCAUUGA